CCGACGGGGCGGCCGCCGCUGCGGGACGCGCGGAGCGGAGCGCACCGAGAGCGCCGGCGGCAGCAGCAGCAGCAGCAGCAGCAGGAGGAGGAGGAGGAGGAGGACGGCGAGGAGGAGGAGGAAGGAGGAGGAGGAGGAGCUCCUUCUCUGAACCUCGCCUGGGCUCCCUCCCCGUACGCCUAUUAGCGGGGGGCUUCCGAAAGCAGCCGGCUGAGAAAUCGCAGCUCUACGGCGCGGCUCCGUUUGGUGGCCGGGGUGUCCUUAAGCCCCAAAUAUUCUCUCGCCACAGGAGUUUUCUCCGUGUGAUUUAAUAUUGAGCAACAGUGGCAUCCGGUGGGCAGCGGGCUGCCUCCCGAGCAGCUGGCAGCAGCACGCUCCCUCUGGUUCGUCGCACGCUUUCUCUAGGUGCUUAUUAAAUACAAGUUCCACUUUUAUCCGAAUUUCAAGGUCUUUCUCACCCAAAAGCUUACACGCUCCUGCCUGUCUGAAACA
Molecule: non-coding RNA, 492 nt
Organism: Anas platyrhynchos (mallard)
Lineage: Eukaryota; Metazoa; Chordata; Aves; Anseriformes; Anatidae
Source: RefSeq, a predicted model, not a curated record